RNA transcript from Thunnus maccoyii (southern bluefin tuna), 1886 nucleotides. It is a transcript of the gene named FILIA-N KH-like domain-containing protein, with no coding region annotated. The record is from RefSeq and is a predicted model, not a curated record. The transcript has 5 exons. Lineage: Eukaryota; Metazoa; Chordata; Actinopteri; Scombriformes; Scombridae.
UGUUUUGUUGUAUUGAGAGGCAGGACGCGGCUCAGUGUGUGUAUGACUGCAGGCUGAUAGACACACACUGUCCUCACACACUGAACUCCUGAUAAAUAACUUUAUUAAGACUUAUUAACUGUCCUCCAUCAUGGAUCUGGACCCAACCGUCAUCCUUCCCGCCAUCCUCUUCACGGUCGUUGCCAUUUAUUUCGCCUCGUCGCUCCUCAACAAGAAGCCCGGCGCCUCCUCCUCCUCGGCCGGGAACAAGAAGCCCAAAGUGGGAUACGGAGAUGACGUCCCUCCGUCCAGAGCUCUGGGAGAACCGCUCCGACACGAGCCUGAAGCCUCCCCGCGCUCCGAGCCACCUGCUCCGGCUGUGGAGGACAUCGGAGCCGCUGAGACGAUCCAGGAUGCAGAAGUUAAGGCUGUCCCAGAACCAGCACCAGAACCAGUCCCAGAACCAGUGUCAGCACCUGAACCAGUCCCAGAACCAGUAACCGUACCACAGACUGUACCAGAACCACCUGCAGCACUAGAACCUGUUUCAGAACCAGAACCUGUCCCACAAGAACUUAUUCCAGAACCAGUUAAAGUACAAGAAGUAGCUGCAGCACCAGAACCUGUCCCAGAGCCAGUAUCGGAACCAGAACCUGUCCCAGAGCCAGUACCAGAACCUGUCCCAGAGCCAGUAGCGGAACCAGAAUCUGUCCCAGAGCCAGUAUCAGUACCAGAACCUGUCCCAGAACCAGUAUCAGUACCAGAAGCUGUUGCAGUGCCUGAGCCAGAACCCGUGACUGAGUCUGAACCGGUACCUGAAGCAGUCCUGCAGCCUGUGGCUGAACCAGAACAAGUUUCAGAACCUGCGCAGGAGUCCAUACCUGAGCUGAUCCCUGGAUCCACAGAAGACGACCUGCCAACCCCUGAACCUGUUUCUGAGGCAUCACCCGAGCCUGGACCAGAACCCGAACCAGAGACCGUCCUGAACAAUGGUGAGACUGAUGAGGCUGCAGCUGAAGAUAAAGUGAAGUUCACCGCUGGAAUGAAACAGAGCAAGUUUGAGACGCUGAUGACCAAGGAGGAGAUCGAGGAGGAGCAGAGGAUAGAGCUUACAUCCGAUUUUACUUCUCUAUAAUCAACCUCAGCACACUCUCACACACACACACAGUGUGUUAGGAGGGAGAUGAGCACCUGAAUGAUCCACAUCACACUUCACACCCCUCAGCUUCUUUUAUCCUCUUUGAUUUUCUUACAGCUGACGUUUAGAGACGACGAACACUGAGGAGUUAAUCCACCUGUGAUAAAGAUCGGCUCAGUUUGGUUCAUGAAGGAAAUUUAAUUUUUACAUCAUUUCAUAUAUUUUUAGUUUGUGGGAGGGGGUGACAGAGCUUUCAGGCCACAGCUGCUUGUGAAUAUAGCAAACGUCUUUACACCAAAGUGCCUUCAGGAAUCUGUGUUUUUUACAGUCUGUUUUUUUGAAGUGUUUUGAAGCAAAGGGAGAAACUUCAGGUGUAGAAAAGGAAGUGAGCUGCGUUAACAGAAAAGAAGGAUUGUGUGACAUUUAUUAAACUGUGAUCUAAACCCAAAUGAAGUUCAGCGUUGUGUUAAAUGUAGCCUGCAAGUCUCAAACACUUAAAACAGCAACCUAACAUCAAACUAUCAGCCUUUAUGUCUGCUAAAGCUAAUUUAAAACCCACAGAAGUGAAUCCACUCGUCUUCCAGUGAUGACAGGCUUCGGUUUUCAGUCCUGUUUUGGGGUUUGAGUUCUUCUGAGUUUGGUUUAAAUGUUUGACAUGCAAUAAAUGUGUGAAACCGUACGUAUGUUUAAUUUUAUUUGUUCCAGAGUUGAGAGUUUUGGAGGCUUUUAUAAAUUCUGGAUUAUUAAAAGUGACGUUUGUUAAAUCUGG